RNAcentral lists this long non-coding RNA (24512 nucleotides) under Glycine max (soybean). RNAcentral describes it as "long non-coding RNA (GMAX_LNC001154)". The record is from RNAcentral. Lineage: Eukaryota; Viridiplantae; Streptophyta; Magnoliopsida; Fabales; Fabaceae.
UGCAAGAAAUAACUAUCGAAUUCUUAUCUAUGCUUUUGAGAAAGUCACAGAUUUAGAUUGUCAUUAUACCCAACCAAAGGCGUAAUCACGGGGCAAAUAAUAAAACAAGCAAUUAUACUUUUGUUGAUAAAUAUAAGUAUUAUUUAUCCAAGUUGUAUGGUCUUAUUGCAUAAAAAAAAAGUUGCAUGGUCUUAUGACCACAUGCAUGCUAUUAGCUCCCCUAUUAGCAGGAAAGUUCAUUUACAAAAACGGAGUGUGUAACAGUAAGAUAAAGAAACUGAGAAAAUUUGACACCAAAAGAAGAGUUUUAUGUUUUACGCAUUUUUUUUUCAUCAAGAGAAUUUAUCAUCUACCAUUGAGAAUUAGCCUAGAUUUACUUGUAGUCUUACCCUGCCAUCAUAGGAUAAUGAUGCAAAGAUCCAUGGUUCACAAGAACUCCAUGUGAGCCCUGUAACAUGAAUAAAAUAUUCGUGAAGAAAAGUACAUGUGAGCUUAAAAGUUAAAACCAUGUAAAAAUUGGCAAAAGAAGCAGAAGCUACAAUUAUUUGCCUUUUCGGAAUGUGGAUCAAAUUUGACAUGAUGUAAUUCUAAACACAACUAAAGAUCAUGGAUUGAAAAACCUUAAGCUCUUACCAUAAAUGCUGUCUUCAUAAUCACUGUACGUAUUAAGCAAUGGAUCAACCCAUCGGGCAGAUGAAUUGGCUUGUCUGCUAAAGUAAGCAUAGAUGAAUAAAAAGUAGUCCUAAAAUAAAUGUAAUAUAGUAACAUCUUAAGAUAAUAAGAUGACCUUUCAGUUGUUAACUCAUCAUGAUUUAUUGAGGCAAGCCACAAGUUGACAGUUGAAUCCGUACCAGCACUCUGUAACAUCCACAUUCCAUGAAAAAUAAGUAAAUAUCCCCUACAUGAUAAUUUAGUAUGCAGACCACCUUUAACCAACAAAUGGACACCAGCAAGAGAUUUAGAAGUCAUUAAAAAUGCAUAUUUGUAUGUGUGCACAUGUGGGUGUGGGAAAAAGCUUCUCUAAGGCAAGUUUAUAUGUAAAGUAAGCAAUUAAGGGUGUAUCCACCUUCAAAUUUUAGUUGGAUAAGCUCACCAUCCACUUUAACAUAAAUCAAGGAUCGAUACACCCUUCGCUUUAGAAACAAGCUCACUUCAGAGGAUCUACAUCCCUCUGUGUGUGUGUGUGUGAAAGAGAGACAAAGAGAGAGAGAGGGAGCGAGAGAGAACCAAGAUCAUUCCAUCAUACUCUGGGUUACACUUGACAGUCCAAGUCCUAGCAAUACAAGUAAUACAGACUGCCAAUCAGAUGUCAAAUGAUAUCAAAUAGUAUAUUUUCAUUUUAGAAAUUUUUUUUAACAGAAUAAAGAAAAGUUAUUUGUGCUUUAAAAGUAUGAUUGUCACAACAUAUGGUAAGCACUGAAAAUAGAGCAGUAAUUUCCUUCUCUGCUUUCAUUUUUAGUUUACUUUCAUUUUUUCCAAAACAGAGAUGAUUGAAAAUUGGAACAUAGUAGGAUUCUUGGAUUGGGAAUAUAGCUAAAAUACAAAAAUCAGCUUUGUAACUAUACAUGGUAGGUACCAAUGAGUAUGUCCUGGAAGCUCUUGGAUGGGAACUUUAGGUUUUCUUAGAUCCCAAAUAUGUAUCCCAGACUCAUGUUCUGCAGUAACCUGUACAAAACAUAGCAAUUCAAUUUUGCCAACAUGAACAAAAGGUGGCAGAAUAUUACUAUAUCAGAAGGCAGUUGCUACUAUAAACUCAUUGAGUAAUAGACGUGAGAAAAAAACAUGUAAUGCAAAUCAAAGUAUUUUAAUACUUGGAAAACAAAAACAAAAAUAGUUAUCUAUGAUGUGUUAAUUUGAAUCUGUAAUUGAAUGUGAGAGAAAAAAUGCUGGCAAUCCAUAUAAAAGCAUUGGUGAAUUUCAGAAAAUGUUAAAGAACACAUUAUCACAAAACACAUUAUGAAACCAGUUAGUAUAGACAUAUUAUAAUGAGGAUCACAAAUUUCAACUCUUACAAGCAUGUGCUGCUUUUGGGGAUGGUAAUCAACACUGCAUACAUGGGAACACUCGAUUGACAUAGUCUUCCUGUGAUUCAAAGAAUCCUAUUAGUAGACAUGAAAUUCCUAGAGGUACCAAUUCAGACAAAAAACUAAUUGAUUUCAGGGGGAUGUAUAUUUGUCUCUCCCCCCCCCCCCCCCUCCCCAAUCCUAGUUGCAAAUACAUUCACUUCCAAAAUUAAACAAUAUUGAAUAAUUUUUCAGGAUGCCUAAGAUCAUAUUACUGCAUAAUUCAAAGUUCAAAAAAAUUAAAUCAACUCCUUUCCUUGUGAAAAAAAAAAUGAACAAAUGCAACCAUAAAAUCACAUUUUUGCUCAAUGUGGUGGAAUAUUAUCAUGUCAUCAACUAAAAUAAACCAGUAAAAAACUUAAUGAUGUUAUAUGAACAUUACAUACUUCAUUGUUCUGACAUCCCAAAAUUGGAGAUACGAUUCACAAGUUGCAGCAACAGAACUCACAUCAUGUGGGUUCCAUGCCCCUCCAGAUAACUUGUGCAGCAUACCAGCGGAAUCUUGCGAUUGUACCUGUUUUUUUGCUCGAAUUUAUUGGAAGGUGUUGGAGGAACUAAGUCAAAAUCAUCAAAAGUUUCAGGCAUUUACAAAUAGUAGUGACCAUAAUCACACAAGUCUAUGAUUAUUUAAGUCCCAACUAAAUCUUGAGUCCUAAAUUUCCGAACUACAGUUACAUACAAUAUUAUUUAACACCAACUUCCAAGAAAAUUUUGUGGUGUUUGACUUGCAAUGAGAUUGGAAACUAAAAUCAAUAUCAGAUUUUCAAACCCAAAUACCCUUAAGGGAACAAAAUUAAAUCCAUUAUGGACAAUAUGUAUGGCCCACUACUGAGUCACUUUUAUCAUGAACUUACUCAUCACAGAUUUGUUUUAAGAAGUCCAUUGACCUAUAUCUUCACUCAUCUUCAACCAUUCAUUUUCUAUAAUGCCUCUCAUUCAAAUAACUUCAUAAGAUUCAGUAACAAAAAUCACAUGAUAAUUGUUCAUAUAUUACAAUUCAAGGAAUGUAUAUUGUAAAAUAUUUCUCCAAUUACUUUUGAAUUUUAAAUGCCUAGAUAAAAGAGAAAAACUAUCCGCUUCAUUUUUGCACAGGACGAAAUGAUCUUUCAUUGUUUACUUUCUCCAACACGUUUUCUUCCUCUUUCUAUUUAGGAUUCAUUAAUUCGUUCAUUAUAACAAAUGAUGGUAACUUGAAUAAUGAUAACAUGUUAUUUUGUACAAACAUGUGUUUCCUGUAUGAACAUAUGAAAAAAAAAUGUAUGUAUUUGUGUCACAAAAGGUGUACCAUACCAUAAAAUUCAUACCAGUGCAAUUUUCUUUGAAACGUCUAAAUUCCACAAGUACAGGUUUUCCUCAUUGAUGCUGAUCAAUUUAUCAUGUCUUCCAGAUGGCCACCAUAGAAUACUGUUUGGUGGUGAAUAUUUAGUAAGGAAUACAAAUUCAAGAUUGAUGAAUAGACUUAAUUACAUUUUUUAUCCCCCCUAAUACUUUUACAGCAGCUAAAAGUGCAAUUAGUUAAAAGUGCAAUCGGGUCACAAUAGAGGAGCUAAAAGUGCAAUUAAACCUAAAUAAUAGAAGCAAAUUUUCCGGGUGAUAGCUAAAAGGGUGGUCCAGUAGAGUAAACUAAAGAAAUGACGCAUUGCUUGAUAGUUAAUAUCAGCAUUUAACUAUCUCCCCCACAUAUAAACCUAGGAAAAUGACAUAGCACAUAAUGGAAGCCAAACUCUCUAAAAACAUCGUUCUAGAGUCAAGAGCAAACGGGAAUUGCAAACUCACCAUUUAAUCUUGCCAGAAUCUGUGUCAAGUGAGGUAAUUCUCUCUAGCUGAGGUGAAUUUAACUCGCCAUAUAGCUCGGGGAUCUGCCAUAUUGCUGCCCCAUACGUUUCACCUAUAAAUAAAUAAGAACAUAAAGGUAAUCACAAGUCUUCCUAACCAAACCAAGAGCCUUAGAAUGUAGCACAAGCUAUCUCAACAUACGGGAAAACACUUACAAUGUGAAAAUACACAAACAAAAAAGUUAAAAGAAGAGGUUAAUUACCGUUAGAGUAGACGGUUGAAAAGAUCCGUUGAUCAAAGGGACAAGAGACAAGGUCCCAGAUCUCGUUGGGGUGAGAGAACAAUCCCUCGCAGAAGAGUUCAGUUCCACUCGACGAAAGCCGAAUCAGAUGUACCUAUCAUGGAACGAUUCACUCAAUUAAUUUCUACAGGGAUCAAACUAGAACAAUAUGCGAGUAUGUACCUCAUUUUCUUCUUUGAGGCUGAGAGUGCCAGCGAGGAAGCUAGUGUGAUCUGUGUCUGCUUUAACAUCCGAUAUGCACCUAGCCUAUUAUAUAAAAGAGUAUAAGAAAUGGAAUAGUUAAUUAGAUCGAUGCACAAAAUUCGUGAGGGUUUCGUGCCUUGGACCUGAUAUUUUAGACCGUAUCCGAUGCCUGAAGACGCAGCUUGCAUUGCUCUUUCUUUUUCUUCGACGCCGAAUCUAAUACUACACCCGCCGUGCGACACCUCAAUACAAAGUAGAGUUGCUGCUCGCUGGGUUUUUUUCUUUUUUCUUUUUCUGAAGCCGUAUUUUUGGACCAGGGGAGUUGCUAGGUGCACCCAGCAAUAUUGCUGGUGCACCCAGCAAUUGAUUGAAAGUACCAUUUUGCCCUUUAAAAUAAAAUUAUAAAAAACGCAAAUCAUUUCCGGAACAGCUCUGCUAGACAACAAAUUCUUCUUCUCUCCCGUCCCGGAACACAGCUUCUUCUCUCCCGGAACAGCUUCUUCUUCUCCCGGAACCUGCUUCUUCUCUUCUCCGUGAAGCUUCUUCUCCGCGAGGCGCGCCAAGGCUUUCUUCUUCUUCUCCGCGAACAGGUUAGUUCCCCUUCCCCUUACCCUUAGCUUGUAAUGUGCAUCACUGUUAGCAUAGCAAUGGAACCUUAGCAUAACAAUGGAACCUUAGCAUAGCAAUGGAACCUUAGGGUAGAAGACGAGAGGGGAGAAGACGAGAGUACGCCGGAAAAAAUGGCGGAAAUGGCUGACGGAGGAGUCUUCCGGAAGACCCCUUAGGGGUUCUUCCGGAAGAACGUUUUCCGGAAAGUCUUCCGGAAGAACACUUCUUCCGGAAGACUUCCGGAAAACGUCUUCCGGGAACUUUCCGGAAGAAGUGGUUCAUCCGGAAGAAUUCCGGAAGACGCCCACUUCCGGAAGAAGUUUCAAACUUCCGGAAGACCUUUCCGGAAGAACCCUUCUUCCGGAGUGUUUCCGGAAGAACCACUUCUUCCGGAAGUGGGUUUUUUUUUUUUUUUGUGUUUUUUUUUUUAAAUUUUUUUUAAACAGAAAUUGUUUUGUUUUUUUUUUAAAUGAAUUAUUUUAUUUAUUUUGGUUAUUUUGUUUUUUAGAUUUUAUGAAAAAUGAAGUUUGGGUUUUUGAUGUCAUAUUUUUUUUAUAAUUUAAAUUGUGUAUUUUUACUAAAUAUUAAUUUGUAAAUUAAUUUUUUUUUAUAAAAGUAGUUGUGUUUUUUUUGUUUAUUGUUUUUUUUUAAAUUAGUGUUUUUUCUUUAAAAAUGAAGUUGGCUAUUUUUAUAAUUAAAGUUGUGUGUUUUGGAAGUUUUAUAAAAAUACUAAUUUUUUAUAAUUAAUUAGUUUAUUUUAUUAUAAAUGAAGUAUUUUAUUUACUAAAAAAAUUGUGGAUGUUUACUAAAUAAUUUUUUUUUUACAUUAGUUGUUUAAUUUUUUUUAAAAAUUAAGUUGUGGAUGUUUAGUAAUGAAUUAUUUUUAUAUUAGUUGUGUUUUGUUUUUAUAAAUGAAGUUGUUUAUUUUUUUUAAAAAAAAAUUAACUUGUUGAUGUUUACUAAGUAAUUUAGUUGUGUUUUUUUUUAUAAAUGAAGUUGUUUAUUUUUUUUUAAAAAUUAAGUUGUGGAUGUUUACUAAUUAAUUAUUUUUAUAUUAGUUGUGUUUUUUUUUUUUAUAAAUGAAGUUGUUUAAUUUUUUUUUAAAAAAAUUAAGUUGUGCAUGUUUAUUAAUAAUUUUAUUUUACAUUAGUUGUUUUUUUUUAUAUAAAUGAAGUUGUUUAAUUUUUUUUUAAAAAAAUUAAGUUGUGCAUGUUUAUUAAUAAUUUUAUUUUACAUUAGUUGUUUUUUUUAUAUAAAUGAAGUUGUUUAAUUUUUUUUUUAAAAUUAGGUCGUGUAUGUGUGAAAAUGAUUUGAUUUAAGUUAGUCUUAUUUGUUUAUAAAUAAAGUUGAUUUUUUAUAAAGAAAAUUGUGUAUAUUUUGACCGAAAAAAAAACGUGUUCGACAUGAUUUACAGAUCAUGGCCAGAACACGAGGUUUAGGUCGUGCCAUAGGUAGAUUUGUAGGCAGAGAUAGAGCUGCUGACGAGGAUGCUGGCGAUGUUCCCGAGAGGCGUAGGCCUACUGCCUCAGCCCGUAGGCUACGCGUUCAUCAGAUGACUACGGAGGGACGUGAUAUGGCUGAGGACGUCGCUGACAUGACUGAUGAUGUCCCUGAGCAGCCUACGGAGGCACCUGAGAUGCGUGCGGACGCACAGGGUGCUGAUAGUGGUGAGGGGUCAGAUGGUGAUGAUGCUGCAGAGGGAUUCCCUGGUGGUCCACGUGACCCGUCAGUGCUCACAUCAUUUGCCGAGCAUGUUGCACAUGCCGUGUGGAGUGGACAGGUAUUUUAAUUUGUUAAUUAUUUGUCAUUGUUUAUUUAUUUGUUUAUGAUUAAUUUUUUUUAAUAAUUGUAUAAUUUGUACUUCAAAUCAGGAACGUCCUGAUUUGAAGUUAGUGUCACAUGGGAGGAAGCUGACACUGAUUGGGAGGCCAGUGCCUGAGAUUGAAGGCCUGGUGGCUGCCACAGGAUUAAGUCCACUGAUAGAUUGUUCAGUUAUUACUGGCGAUCCUGGACUUAUAUCCGCAUUUGUGGAGAGGUGGCACAGUGAGACUAGCACCUUCCACCUUCCAGUAGGAGAGCUGACGAUCACAUUGGAUGAUGUGUCGUCCAUUCUACAUUUGCCCAUCACUGGCGCCUUGCACAGUUUCCACGCUCUUUCUACGGAGGAGGCCAGAUUCUUGCUCACGGAGUUGCUGGAAGUGUCUGCGGAGGAGGCCAGAGCCGAGACAGCGCUCACACGUGGAGCAUAUGUACGAUUAGGAUGGGUUCGUGACAUUUAUGAGACCAGAUGUCAGGCCCGGCGGUGGAUUGUCGCAGCUCGCGCUUAUUUGCUGCACCUUGUCGGUUGCACUCUUUUUGCUAAUAAGAGUGCAACAUACGUGCAUGUGGUCCACCUUGACGCUUUCCGGGACCUCGCUCAUAGUGGUGGUUACGCUUGGGGGGUUGCCGCGCUGGUUCAUAUGUACGACCAGUUAGAUGAGGCUUGUAGGACCACCACCAGACAGCUUGCGGGGUACUUGACGCUAUUUCAGGUAAAUUUUGUGUUUAUUAAUAUGUUAGGUUCGAUUAUGAUUUAAACAUGUUUUUAUGUUAUGUUAACCUCAAUUAUUGUGUAGUGCUGGAUCUAUGAGCACUUCCCUAGUGUGCAUCAGUGCGUGACUGACGACACAUACCAGGAGACGUCCCCACGUGCUUCCCGGUGGUUGACGUCGAAGGCGCACAUGAAGGGCAUCACAGGAGCACCCUACAGGGCACGUUGUGAUGGUUUGACCGUCACAGAUGUGUCCUGGUUGCCGUACACGGAGCAUCGGGGUGUUAGGGCGUUUCAGGAGAUUUCAUCGUUCCAGGGUCAGCUCAGAUGGGGUCCUAUGAUCGUCGCAGUUCGACCGGAGAGGGUGGUACGCCAGUUCGGUUACAUCCAGAGCAUCCCUCCGCCGCCUGUUAGUGCACGAUUGUCACAGGAGCAGAUAGAUGACAGGUGGAUGGAGUUUGCGGAUCACUUACUACCUGCGGGUCAGCCUUGUUUAGUGCCUGGGCAGGUAUCUGCGGAUUACAUUGAGUGGUUUUUCCGCAUAUCUCACCCUUUCAUGACACCGACCCAGGCAGCUGACCAGCAGAGGGAUGCACCAGCUGCAGACCCUGAGGACUACAUACAGCCGCCCAGCCCCCAGGUUCCAGUGGCAUUUGACCCCCCUCCAUAUGUGGUAAGAUUAUUUGCGCGUUUAAUGUUUUAUGAGUUGUUGUUUAUUUUGAAUUUCAUAAUAAAUGUUUUUACUGACUUUGACAGGAUGAUUACGAGGGAUAUGAGGCGAUUGCACAGAGGUUGGAGCGUGUGCUCAACCUUAGGAUAGUCACUGCAGGCACAGAGUUAUAUGACAUUAUGCAGGACUGCCUGACGAUCGCGAGAGGGGGACCCAGUGCUGAUGGGACGGUCAGGGCUCGUCAGAGACGCCGCACGGACCAUUGAUCAUUGUAUUUAUAUUGUUGUGUUGUAGUUGACAUGAAUAUUUGUAAUUAUUACAGUUUUUGUUUAAUAUAGUUGGCGUGUUUUGCACAGUUUAUUAUUUUAUAAUAUAGUUUGUUAUUCCGAUUGUUUGUGGUCCUUAAGCGAAGUUUACGGUUGUUUUAAAUUUAUUUUUAAAAAAAGGGAACCUAGAAUCAUGAGUUUUGUUUGUAAGAAUUACAUAAAAAAUAAAAGUUUUUAAAAUAAUUAAUAAAUCAGGAAAUAGUCCCGUUCCCCAGUUCUCAUGUUUGGACGUCAAAGAAUCCAAAAAAAAUAGUCCCGUUCCCCAGUUCCGUCAACUAACACGUCAAAACAAAGCCUCAAAAUCGAAAAAAAUAGGAAAUGAACCCUUUUUCCAUGUUCAAGUAUCCAUGUUUGGGAUUUUUUUGCGUGGGUGUGCCUGUGCCCUGAGACAAUGGAGGGCGGCCAUUUCUCAUGUUUGGACGUCAAAGAAUCCAAAAAAAAUAGUCCCGUUCCCCAGUUCCGUCAACUAACACGUCAAAACAAAGCCUCAAAAUCGAAAAAAAUAGGAAAUGAACCCUUUUUCCAUGUUCAAGUAAAUAAUUACUGUAAUAACCGAAUUCAUGAUUGGCCUAAAGCAAGCAGAGCUAGCAUGCACAGUUCCAUUAUAGGCUACAUAACAGCAUAUUAGACCUAAUCAUCUUGCUUGUUUACAAUGUGAUAAACGGAUUAAUUAAAGGAUCCUAAAAAAGAUCAAAUCUUCCAAAUGCACAGAAGCUCCACGAUCACAAUCUUCAAAACCUAUUCAUUAAAGAAGCAAGAGAGUUCAUUAAAGUUCAAACUUGGAAUAUUCUUAUUCCCCUUGUAUUCUUGUAACUCUCGCAAGCAUACUCAUCGUCACCAUUAAAACGCAUUCACGCAUAGAAGGCGGCGCGCACAUUCUCCAAGCAAUUAAUAGCCACCUUAAGUUACAUAUGAUUCACUCUCAUCAUCGUAUAUUCCUAUUUCGUAUUCAUAUAAAUUGCCAACUUCCUUUCAUAUUCCCCACGUUCUACUACUGUUUCAGCAAGGAAGGGACUUAUAAUCCUUCUUCAAUACUUCAACGUCUUUAUAUAUCUUCGUGUCUGGAGCAUGAUCAUGGAGUCUCAGCCACUUAUGGGUUGGAGCUCUUUCUACGAAAUAGAUGAAGAACCAUUUCCAUUUACGUGCCAAUUUUCUUACAGGUAAACUAUGAAUGUCAUUAUGUGUUGUCAAUUAUGACAAUGAUGUAUGCUGUACGCGUAAAUGAUUUUUGUUGGACCAACAAUUUCCUUGCUUAACCAAACGAGUAGUUGAUAAUAUUAAUUGGUUAGUGACGGGUUACAACGAAUUAUAUCGCAUAAUGAAUACAAAUAAAUAAACAAUGAAUGUUUAGUCUUCAUUUAGGUCUACAUAGUGUGUUUUGAAUGACAUCAAGCUUGUGUAUUCCUGCAUUCUACUAAUAUAUGGAAUUGCCCAUUGCUUUGCCUGAGAAUAACAAUUGGUUGACCACAACAGCGCUGGGGGCGGCAACGGACAAUGGUCUUUCAAAUAAACCUGUUGUACAUGAACAAACAUUAUAUCAUGCGCUGACCGUGCCAAACGAACAAGCGAAGUCAUUGCAUAAUUGUUACACUAACUAUAUUCAAUGUACCUGAACAAAAUGAUUUCCAAACACGUGACCGACACAUAUGAUGCGGUGGCCAGAAGAGUCAGGUGGUGGUUGACUUCUAAGAGGGAAAAAUGUCAUGCUUUGUUGUUGGGACAACGAUACAAGGAUUACGUUAUACCGUGAAGCAAUCACAUAUCCCAUGUCUGUUAUAUCCAUCCACUUGUCCACACUAACCUGAAUGAACCAAACAUACACAUGUAAGUAAUUUAAACAUUGUUAUUAAAAAAAAUUAACCUAAAAACAUACCUUUGAAAAUCCAUCAACAAGUAGGGACAACUUUAAUUGUUCAAAUCUCUCUGUGCCACCGAAGAGGUUCAUGUACUCAUGCGACCACCUGCCAAGUUCUUUAAGCAAUUCAUUACGCACUAACGGCCACGAAUCUUCCCCCAUACCUAAUAAAGCGCCAAUGGACCGAUAUCCACAGUUACCGUCCGCUUUCACAUCCACAACGUCACGAAUGAAACCUUGAAAGAAUGACGCAAAUUGAUCCAACAUCGGGAUGAUCCUUGUUGGCUGACGCGGUUGAGAACAUGAUGCACUUCGUUUCACUGGAGAGUUGCUGCUUUGAACAGAAUGAAAAGCAUCAACAUACUCCCAGUAAGACGGAUCACGCUUUGUGGAUGUUUGACUUCUUUUCAUCGGUUUCUUCGGUGCACCUUUAGUGUUCACCUUUGAUGGAGGAGGGCACAUAGAGUUAUGAUCAGGGUAUGCGAUUUCUCGAAGUUUACUCUUCAGAUUUACUUUGCCAGCCACAUCAAGUUCAUCAAACCUUUUAGAUAUGACCUCUAUUUCUUCCUUGAUGGUGACUUCCGUCUCACAUAACCCUUGGUCUGAAAAGCAAAGUCUCCUCCAAAAAAGAUGGACUGACUCCAAUGGGAUGCUGCUAGCAGUAUACCUAGAAAGCUCACAUGCACAAGGAAGCCCGUGCGUGCUUCUCAUCACACAACCACAAGAAGAGAGAUUGUUGCCGAGAUAACGUAGACGGUCAAUCUCAGAAGCAAUCUGAUUUAAAGCAUCCCUCGAAACCAUCCCAAGAAGCCUCUUGUAUAAGGUUUUUUUAUAUACAUGGCCAACCACAUGCGUACUGGUUUCAAAGGAUGCUUUAAUUUCGACGUGUUGCAGCGUGAUCAUGUUGUUCAUGGCAUCCCAAACACUACAUAGGUCUCCAACGCUAUUUUGUAGUACUCUUUUGAGAGCCCAAUGAGCUGAUUCAACCCUACAUUUAAAAUACACAACAAACAUGAAAAUAUACAACAAUUAAAUACCAUUUAAUAUUAAUCGUUACUAACAAAUAAAAUCAGUUGUUAAUACCUGUUUGUUGUUGUGUUGCCUAGGUGCAUGACCUUAUUCGUCCAUGCUGUAAUAAAUUUUUCCUUGUGGGGGAUAAUCCAUGUGUCGUUAACAUAGUCAACGAACAUCGGCCAAGGCGAACAAGCAACUUGAAACUUCUGAUAUGACUCAUGGAACUCGUAUUCGGACGGACAAUCAACCAAAGUACCCCAGUUAUCCAUUACAUAGUCCCACGCAUUUUUUUCCCCGAUUAAAGAUUUGCACUUCGCCUUCACAUUCUUAUCGAUAUGAAACCUGCACAACAAAUUAGUAGACUCGGGAAACACAGUUUUCACUGCAUUCAUCAGUGCUAGGUCUCUGUCAGUGACAAUAACAAGAGGGAGGCGAUCGUGUCUUAAAAAUAGGCCUCGAAAUCGUUCCAAAGCCCAUACAAUAUUAUUAACACGCUCAGCCUCCAGAUAUGCAAACCCAGCAGAGAAUGUCAUCGCCGUUGGUGUCACUCCAACAAAGUCAAGUAGUGGGAGUCUGUACCUGUUUGUUUUGUAGGUACUGUCUAUAAAAAACACCAGAUGACAUGCAUUGCAUAACUUUACUGCAUCUGGGUGACACCAAAACAGAUCACGCACCACAACUUCAUCCUUCAAUCUAUGCCAAUGAAUGUAUUGAUCACGUUCGAGAAGCUUCAUCAGAUGCUGCAUUUCGGUAUCAGCUCCUCUUAUUGAAGAACGAUAUGCACUUCUUGCAUUGUAAAUUUGCUUUAUCGUGGUGUAACUGUCGGCAUUGUGUUCCUUCAACGUUAGCAAGAUGUUUUUCGGUUUCACCAUCGACUUUGUCAUAUCAGCAAUAAUUUUCUUUUCUUCCUUAGUCAAUCGCCCGGCGUAUGGAUGUCCAACUAAGGACUUCGCCAAUUCAUGAUUAUGAAUCCCACAGAUCAACUUCACCAUCCAACCUUCCCCUCCACGCACUGGUUUCCCACGAAGCCUGAAGGGACAACCACAUUUCCUACUCCCGGUGUCUUUUCUAACGAAUUCUUUAUUUCUACACUUGUACGUACCACUCCUUUCACACCCAAUUAACACAAAUGAACUUCUUCCUCUGCUACCGGUCUCUGUGUCAGAUCUCAUAAUCACUGCAACAAAUCCAUUUUCAUGGGCAACUGUUCGAGCCCAUUGCAAAACAUCAUCUCGAGUAGUGAAUACCUACAACGCAACCCUAACACAUUAAUUUUCGUACAAACCAUCAAUUCAACCAAUGACUCAAAUUAUCUAUGAUUACCUGAGAUGUAUUAAAAGCAUUUGAACAAUCGACAUGUCGUUCAUUCACUCCACAUUCUUCUUGAUUAUCAUAAUCAUAAUCCAUAUCAACUUCUUGUGACAUCGCAAAGUCAUACCUCCAUUGAUCUUCGUCCAUCUUAAGGACAUAUGCAUCAUACACAAGUACAUUCAAAUUAUCAUAUAACCACAUCCAAAAAUUUACUACACCUUAAAUAACAAACAUAUUAAUAGGACAUAUGCAUCAUACACGACUAUAUUAAAAUUAUCACUAUAUUCUAAAUUUAUAACUACAUUAUUUACUUAAACUAAACUUAUCACUAUAAUAAACAACUAAUAAAACAUUUUUGUACCAUUAUACAUUUAAGUUACCUAAAUCAUUUAAUAUUAUACCAUUAUACCUAAUUAAAUCAAUAAUCCACAACAUAUAUAAACCAGAAAUAAAAAAAAAUUAUAAAACAGAAAUAUAUAUACCAUUAUAAAACAAAAAAAAUUAUAAUCCACAAUAUAUAUCAUUAUACCUAAUUAAACCAAUAAUUCAUUAUUAACUAACAGAAAUAUAUAUAAAACAGAAAUUAAAAAAAUUAUAAAACAGAAAUUAAAAAAAUUAUAAAACAGAAAUUAAUAAAUUAGUAAUAAUUAACAUUCCGGAAGAAGUUNNNNNNNNNNNNNNNNNNNNNNNNNNNNNNNNNNNNNNNNNNNNNNNNNNNNNNNNNNNNNNNNNNNNNNNNNNNNNNNNNNNNNNNNNNNNNNNNNNNNNNNNNNNNNNNNNNNNNNNNNNNNNNNNNNNNNNNNNNNNNNNNNNNNNNNNNNNNNNNNNNNNNNNNNNNNNNNNNNNNNNNNNNNNNNNNNNNNNNNNNNNNNNNNNNNNNNNNNNNNNNNNNNNNNNNNNNNNNNNNNNNNNNNNNNNNNNNNNNNNNNNNNNNNNNNNNNNNNNNNNNNNNNNNNNNNNNNNNNNNNNNNNNNNNNNNNNNNNNNNNNNNNNNNNNNNNNNNNNNNNNNNNNNNNNNNNNNNNNNNNNNNNNNNNNNNNNNNNNNNNNNNNNNNNNNNNNNNNNNNNNNNNNNNNNNNNNNNNNNNNNNNNNNNNNNNNNNNNNNNNNNNNNNNNNNNNNNNNNNNNNNNNNNNNNNNNNNNNNNNNNNNNNNNNNNNNNNNNNNNNNNNNNNNNNNNNNNNNNNNNNNNNNNNNNNNNNNNNNNNNNNNNNNNNNNNNNNNNNNNNNNNNNNNNNNNNNNNNNNNNNNNNNNNNNNNNNNNNNNNNNNNNNNNNNNUUCCCUUGUAUUAUGCAUAGCGGGCUUCAUGGGUUUUUUUAGGAAGAGGCCUAAAAUGCUUAAUGGGUUUUUUUAAUGAAUAGUGUUCUGCUCAAAGCCCAUUGUAACUACUGCGAAUGCCUACACAACUGGUCCAAAGGAGUUGCUACGUGCACCCAGCAUUAUUGCUAACACCCCCCUGAAAACGUUAAAACAGUGAAGUGGCGAAACUGCCCUUCAGCAAUUAUUCUUCCGGAAAAACUCACAGACAAUUUCCGGAGAAACUUCUUCCGGAAGUCUUCCGGAAGAAGCUUCUUCCGGAAGACACUGGAAUUCUUCCGGAAGAAGCUUCUUCCGGAAACAUUCCGGAUGACGUUCUUCCGGAAAUUGUCUGUGAGUUUUUCCGGAAGAAUAAUUGCUGAAGGGCAGUUUCGCCACUUCACUGUUUGCUGGGUGCCCCAGCAAUAAUGCUGGGUGCACGUAGCAACUCCCUUGGACCAGUUGUGUAGGCAUUCGCAGUAGUUACAAUGGGCUUUGAGCAGAACACUAUUCAUUAAAAAAACCCAUUAAGCAUUUUAGGCCUCUUCCUAAAAAAACCCAUGAAGCCCGCUAUGCAUAAUACAAGGGAAAAAGAAAAGAAAAGAAAAGAACAGAACGAAAGAAUCACCUGACAAAGAAAGAGAGGAAAAGUAUAUAGAAGAAAUUUUGGUGAGACUUAUCCCAUCCAUGCUCAGGAAUCAAGAAAUAGUCCUUUUCAGUUUCAUUCACUACGUAUCAAUCACCUUCUCCUUCCACCAAUCUUCAGCCUUAAAAAACUUGCAAGAAAUAAUACGGCAUUGGAACGUUCUAUGGAUCAGAUCAUGUUUUUGGUAAUUCUGUACGUUUAGAGCAAGUGGUGCAUGUCCUCUUAACCGCUGCAUGGUGGCAAAUUAAUCCAGCGCCAAAAUAAUGGGCUAUGGGAUAAAUUUGCAUCCGCUCAUGCACCACUUUCUGAAUGUAGACGUGGUAUUGAAUAACUGCAGAACCUAAUUCGGCCUUUUAUAAGUUUUAUUACUUGAUUAAAAUUCACUUGUCAAUUGUGAUUUGUGAAGUUCUGAUUGUUGAAAUAUGUAUACAAAUCUUAAGUUAAUUAUAUAAAAUUUUGAAAAAGUAAAAAAAAAUAAAAAUUCUUUAGUAUUUUUCAUGAGUUUAAAAGAAAAAAAAUAUAUCUGAAAAGGAUUAUGCCAUAAAAAAUAUUUUUAACAAAUUUAAAUUAUGUAUAAUCUAAUUCUUCUGUUUUCUUUUAAUCUUUCCCUAUCUUUAUAAUCUUUUUUACUUUUUUCAUGCGGUGCUUCUCUUAUUUCCGUUCGAACGCCUCGUGUGAUAAGCCCGUAAAUAUGAAAAAGAAUAAUGAUAUUUUUUAUGUUUGAAUGGAAAAUAAAAGAUACAACAGAACAAUUGAUUUUAUACAAAAAAAUGGUUUUUCUUUAGUUUACAUUUUUCUUCAUUCAAAUAAAUAAAGGAUAAAUGAACAAGCAAUCAAGUAUGCUCAUCAUACUUAUAAUAUCUAAAAAAGUAACAGAUUUUAGCAUUUUUUUAAAUGUUAGUUUUUAAUCUUUUAUAUUUUUUAUUUUUAUUUUUAAUAUAUUUAUCAAAUUUAUUAAUUAUCUUUUUUAAAUAGUUUACGAUUUUAUUGCUUUUCUAUUUUAUUUUUUACAAUUUUUAGUUACUUUAACCAUUAUUUUAAUUGAACAUUUAUAAUUUAAUAAAUUAAUUUUUCAGCUUUCAAUUAUUAAUUUUUAAUUAGAUUUUCGGCUAGUUUUUUUUUAACACAGCCCAAAUAUAAAAGUGUGUUGUUAAUUAUAGGAAAAUCACAAAGGAUUUUGUUUAUAAGCAAAUAAAGAGGAAGUUAAAUAGAAAAUUAAAAGUAAAGAUUUCUGACAAAAAGAGAGAACUAAUAAUAAUAAUAAUAAUAACUGAAAAUUAAUUGAACUAUAAACCACCAAACUGAAAAUUAAUUUACUACUACUCUUAGACUAAUUAAAAUUUACAAUAAUUAGUUUAAUUUGAUUUUGAUUGAUUUUCAUUAAAAUAUUAUUCCAUAAAAAUUUAUAUACUUUUUUAUUUUUGAAAUCAAAUUAUAUUAAAAAAAAUCUUAUUAAUAAUCUAUAUAAAAAAUUAACAUGCUAAACAUUCUAUAAAAAAAAUAUGCUAAAAUUUCAAUUUUGGUUAAAUCAACUAUAUAUUGAAAAUGUCAUCAAUAAAAUAAUAUGAAACCCAAUUGAUAUUCAUAUAAAAAAUAUUUAAAAAAUGUAACAUUAAAGUAAUAUAUAAGUGUUGUAGGUUGAUUUGAAUUUAGAAACAUAAAUAGCAAACUCAAUUUUGAUUUUAAUUUUUUUUAAAAAAAAUUGGUUUUUAUUUUGAAUUUGUUUCGAUUUGACCACCCUUAAUUUAAGUGAAAACAUUUGUGGUUUUUACAUUAAGGAGAUCAUCCAACUAAUAAUAAGAAAUUAAUAUCUUUUUAAGAUGUGGACUUUUUUUAUUUGCAAUGAGACGUGGAGAUUAUCAAAUUCUAAAAUGUAGAGAUGACACCUAAAUUUUGCCUAACUAUUUAUUACGUUAAAGAUAUAAAAAAAAUUAUUUAGUUUUGUAAAUAAUUUUAAACAUAUAAUAAAAGUUCGUAUUUUUACCUCAUAUGUCCAUGUAUGGGCCAUCGUAGCUAUACCUAACUUUACUGCCGGUCUAACCUAACCUAAGUAAAAUAAUAAUUGGUUAAGUUUACGGGAUUUGAUUGAAAAUAUCAAAUUUGUCAAUCACAUACCCCAAACUGACUUGAUUAUUCUUGCAGCAAUGUAUAUCACUUUAUAUAAUAGAAAAUACCAAUAAUUAUGACAUAAAUAAAUUUUAUUCGUGAAACUGCAACUAUAUACUUUAUUUUAAAUUUAAAUUAAAUCAUAAAUGUAUGAAUGAAAUAAAGGUGUAUUUUUAAUUAGCAUAUAUAUAUAUAUAUAUAUAUAUAUAUAUAUAUAUAUAUAUAUAUAUAUAUAUAUAUAUAUAUAUAUAUAAACUGAAAUCUUAAGGAAAUAUAGUCAUUAAUUAUUUUACUUUUAUAUUUAUUAAAUCAAAUUAAGCAUAAAUGUUAAAUUAAAAUAAAUUUUAUAUUUAUUACUUUCCUUUUUAUUUUAUUUUGAUUUUUUUUUUACUAUUUUUGUUGCAAUGUAUACUACUUUGUAUAAUAAUAAAUUAUAUAUAUAUAUAUAUAUAUAUAUAUAUAUAUAUAUAUAUAUUUAUAAACUGAAAUCUUAAAUAUAACAUAAACAUUAAAUUAAUCAUUAAUGUUUUUCUUUUUAUAUUUACUAAAUCAAAUUAUUCAUAAAUGUCAAAUUAAAGCAUUUUUUUACUUUCCUUUUUAUUUUAUUUUGUGACUAUUUUAGUGCACCUAAAAUUACAAAAAUGGCCAUUCAGUUUUGGGGGGAUUUUUUUUUGCAGCAAGGUAUACUACUUUAUAUAAUAAUAAAUAAAUAAUAUAAUAAUAAAUUAUAUAGCAAAUUUAAUUUAAUAAGAAAAUAUAAUAAUUAUUUAUCAGGACCAUUUUUUUAAUUAAUGAGUUACUAGUCACACACUCUUUUGAUUAUGUUAUUUUUUAUUGUUUGAAAUUGAUUAAAAAAAAAUUGGUUCUCAUAUUAUAUCUUGUAUUCUUUUAACAUGAAUUUAUAAUUUUUAAUAAAGUUUAAUAUAUUAAAGAAUGUGUGUUCGAAAAUUUGUUCCUGAUUUUGUGAUAUAACUAAUUUUGGGUUAGACAACCAGCUAAAAUCUUCCAAAACUGGCCGGAUCGGAUUUGUCACAUCAAACCCACACAUGCAAUAAUUCAACCCCCUUUAUUUAUUUUUAUCUAUUUAUUGACUGAAAUCAACCCCCUUUAUUAGAAAAAUACAUAAAAGAAAAUGUUUGUUGAGAAAAAAAUGAAGACGAAGAUGACGAUACACGUUCUUGAAUCAAACAUGGCGUUACAAUUAGGUGUAUGUGUGAAUUAGAAAACUCUGGGGACUUUUCAAAAUUCUCCUUCUCUAGGGUGGUACCUCCCAAACUUCUCGUGAUACCAAAUAGCCGCAUGGUAUUAGUAUGCAUAUGGUACGGUACCCGCCACCUUCAAUAUAUGCAACCCAACAACACCAAUUCUCACCAAACCAUAUAUGCUCCUUUCAUCAUUUAAUUUGAAUCAUAUUGCUCUCUCUCUGCGUUAGUUGUAUCGCACAUCAUCGUACGUGAUCACAAAAUUACCCUUUGGCAGAACAAGCUACUAAUAUAAACCUCAGGGUUUUGUGGAAAAAAAGAAGGAAGAGAUCGACGAUGUUACAGAGCCCCAGAAAGUUUGUGACGCCCUUUACUAAAUGUGUUUCUGAUCUCAAUUGGCGUUUAACUGGGUUGAUCAUCCCUCUAGUUUUAUUCAUCACGUUCUUCUCUCUCCAUUAUUCAUCUUCCACUUCUUCAAACGGUUUUUCAGCCUUUUACCCUGUUCAGCAGUUUCUCUUCAACCUCCCUUUUAAGUUUAUCAGCGAGGAAGAUCCUGUUGUUUCCAAGGAUGAGUUGUUGCGGUCCAAAAUUGCGGUGUGUUUGGUUGGUGGUGCCAGAAGGUUCGAACUCACGGGACCCUCCAUUAUCGAAAUGGUGCUCAAAGAAUACCCCAAUUCGGAUGUUUUUCUUCAUAGCCCGUUAGACAAGGACACGUUCAAGUUCUCGCUCCUGAAGUUUGCGCCGAACGUCGCCGCCGUUCGAAUCUUCCACCCUCAACCGUUGCCGGAAAACGAGUCGUAUGUUCGAGUCCUCACCGCGCAUAACUCGCCCAACGGAAUCCAGGUCAUUUCGCUGCUAUUUUCUCUUUCUUUCUUUCAUUAUUAUUACUACUUUUUCCCCUUUUUGGAUUUUGAUUCCUAAAAAUACCACAUCAUCAGAAUCAUGUUGUUAAACGUAUUAUUGCUGAUUACAGUGAAUGAAAUUAUAUUAUUAGUGUUGCAUUUUUUGUAAUUGUUUUAGUUUUUAUUUUUUAAGUAGCUAGUGUCUUGAGUACACUUUUUAGGAAUCUCCACAUAUUGUUUGGUUGAUAUUGGUUUUAUGGAAUAAUUUGUGCAAGUUGCUCUGGGUCACAUUUUUUGUACCUUGGCGGAUAUUUUCAUAUCAGUAUCGAAUUCAUUUCUUUUUCACCUCGCCUUCCAGAAACCAGAAGUCUAUUUAUAUUUAUUUAUUUAUUAGGAUGCUAUCUUAAAAGAAAAGUAAAAUACAUUAUCAAAUAUCUUUACUUGCACUACAUUUCAUCUUCCUAACCCAUGUAGGUUGGUUAAAGCAAAAACUGUUGAGGGAACCCAGUCAUUUAUGACUGGGACAGAAUGUUUUAACUGUAUUAAAUAUAUAGGAGGUUAUUAUCGUAGGCACGUAACACGUACGUUCACGUUAGGUCGUGUAUUUAUGCAUAUGUUUAUCUUUAAAGUAUACUUAUCUAUAAAACGGAUACUUAAUUUGUAUAACUUUAUAUGUAUGUUAAAAGUUAAUUUAAUUAGGUAGUAACGUUCUUUUUUUAAGAAUUUAUACACAUCAUUCUUAUAUUAUAAUAUAAUUAAUAAUAAUAUAAAAUAUGAUACUAAAGGAGAAAUAAAUUGAAACUGAAAAAAAUAUUUGAAAAGUUAAUGUUUUCUAUUUAUAUUAAAUUAAAUUUGAUAAAAUCUGUUUGAAUUUUUAUUUUUAAAAGCUUGAUAUAUCUCAUAAAAAAACAGCUGAUAUAUAAUAAUCUAUUUUCCACAUACUGGAAUAUAUUUUUUCGUUUUUAUGUAAUAUCCAGGUCAGUUUGAUCGACACUUUCAAUUAUUUGGCAAGCUUUUUUUUGAAAAUGUUCCUGAACAUAAAAUUGGGAUGAUAAAAAAAUAUCAAUUUAAUAUAAUAAUAUAUAUUUUAAGAUAAGUAUAACAUACAAUAUUAAUUUUAAAUUUGUUUCAUUACUCAAAUGAAUAAUGGAAACAUUUACUCUUUUUUUCACUGGCUAUCAGUCAACCACUUUGUACUUGAAUUUGCUGCAAUUCUAAAACACAACCAUCUUUACUUAUAGCUAAAUUAAUUCCUAGCCUGUUUUACUUUUUAUUAAAUAUGUCUACAGUCUUGUGGAUCUGUUAAAUCUUUAUUUAUUUAAUUGUUUAAUAUUUACUUAUUUAGGAUCGAGUUGGAUAAAAUUAGAAACUUUGGAGAGUUAGGAGGCAGUUUUCAGUUUGGUAGGGUUGACAGGGGUAGUGUGUGAGGGCAAGUUCCUAUUUUCGGGUCACCAUUCCUUUCUUACCCUCAAUGAUUUAUGAACUUUAAUUGCUAAAUCAGUAAAGCUAAACUGAACAACCAAGCUUGCUUAGAAUUGAAGUAUCAAGUAGUAGUAUGACGCCAACGUAGAAACUAAAUGCUAAUUAUGACUGUUUUUAUUUAUUUAUUUAUUUUUGGUAUUGAUAUAUGACUGAAUUUAAUUUACGUUAUUACGCAGGGGCUUCUUCAGUACUUUAACCUAGUGGAGGGAUGCCUAACGAUGAUAAAAUCACACCAACAGAAGAAAAACUUCACGUACGAUUGGAUAAUCCGAACACGUGUUGACGGGUACUGGAACGCACCGUUGGGUUCCGAAAACUUCGUUCCGGGAAAGUACCUGGUCCCAGCGGGCUCCUCGUACGGUGGACUCAACGACCGUUUAGGAAUCGGCGACCUCAGAACCUCGACGGUGGCACUGUCGCGUCUCUCUUUAGUUCCAAACCUCGAUUCCGCUGGCUUCAACAACCUCAACUCAGAGGCAGCGUUUAAGGCCCAACUCACGACGCUGAACGUGAGCCACGUGGCAAAACGACUCCCGUUUUGCGUCGUUUCGGACCGCAGGUACGAUUUUCCACCGGGGCGGUUCGGGGUGCCGGUGGCGGCGCUGUCGAGCCCGGGCCCACUGAGUGGGGCCAAGUGCAGGCCAUGCAGGGAGGUGUGUGAGGGUUUGUGCGCGGAAACUGUGAUGGAUUCGGUUGAGAAGGUGUGGAGUUGGACCCAUUGGGAGAACGGUGCGCUUCAGCUUUGCGACGCUCACGAUGCGUGGGAGAGUGGUUGGGAGAAGAAUUUUGACCGGCUUGCUGGGAAGAAAUUUGCGGCGGCUAGGAAGCGAAUUCAGUCUAUGAAAAUGGAGGAGUGCGUUAAGGAUUUUGUUCAAUUGAGGAAACGGAGUGCGCAUUGGAGUGCGCCUCUGGUGGAUGAGAUUUGUGCAUUGGGUUUGAAUCCACCCUGAACACCGUUUCUUUCUUUCUGUCACACAGUUUAGUAAAGUCACUACUGGAUUUUCUACUUUUCUUUGGCGGAAAUAGGAGAAAUAUCAAUUCUUUUUUCACUCGUUGGAAUAUUUAUUUUUCAAAUUUAAAUAUAUAACUAUAUAUAAGUGGGUGUGAAUAUGGCACUCUAAUAAAAUAAGUACAUCGUGUUAAAGUAAAAAGAGAGAGAAAUAUGUUUUUAGACUUUAAUAAACAAUAAUAAAAUUAAUAUUACUUAAUUAUAAUGUAUCUAUAAUUUAUUAUUUAUAUCUAUCUAUAAUCUCUAUAUAAACGUAGUUUUUUUUUUUAAUACAAGCCGAAACAGGAAAACAUGAGAAAGAGAAAACUAGAAACGAACGGACAGAAACUCCUAAAGCAUCAGAAAACAGAGAUUGUUUCAGAUCAUUAGGACAGUUUUCCCACACUUUGAAAAAUAUAGUUUAUUCGACAGUUUUGAUGAGUGAUUAAAAUUGGGAUUUGGGAGUUAUCUGAGAGUUGGUUAUGCAUGAUAAUUGAAAAAUAAUUAUGAAUAAUAUAUUUUCUAAUUACUUAUUAUCAGACUUAGACCAUAAAAAAAACUAUUUUUAAUCAAAACUCAUUUUAAAAAUUAAGGACAUUGGCCCACGUACUCAGUUCAUGUAUUUCGUUCGUAACAAACAACAAUGCUGAACAGUAUAAUUUGUACUCUUUUAUUCAUCUAAUUACUUAUUUAUCCAUCCGUCAUUUAUUCAUUUUUUGGUAUCAUCAUCAAAUAAUAAUAGAAUAAGAAAGCAAAAAAGAAAAAGAAAAAAAAAAGGAAGAAGACAAAACAAAAGUGGAGAAGAGAGGGCGUGGAAGAAGCUCCUAUAUAUGAGAAUGAAAAGCAGUUGUACGGCCUUGUGUUUUAUUCUCUUCUCUUCUUUGGUAACUAGCAUGGGCCAUAUAUAUUAUUUAUUUGAGUAGCAAAGCUCUCAGUACUGAAAAACAGUGGACCAGGCACGUCUCUCUCGUUCUGGAGAUCACCGUAAAAAUCAUCACCCAACUUUGACGUACAAAAGGAGACAGACACAACACAACACAACCACCGUACCCUCUUGGUUCUCUUCUCAAGUUUGUUCAUGUGAUUCCACCAUCAUCAUCAACGUCAAUUAAUACAACACACUGCAUGCCCCACACCACGUGUACCAGCAAGACCCAUGAAUUCAAACCCCAAAUCCCAGUCAUUUUGCUAUGGCCACCGCUAACGUGAAAUUAAUACAUUACUUCCAAACAAACGCCAACUAAAAGAAAAGAAGAGGAAGCAGACAAGCAGCGGCAUCAGUUCUAUCAAUAUUUUUUUUCUCUUGCACUACUAGUUGGUUUCAAUUUGUUUCUGCAAUUAGACGAUUCGGUUGAUCCGAAGUAGUCGAGUCAUGUUGAUCUUGGAAUAUUUCUUGAAUGAGUUUAUUCUGUACUAACAGAAAACACUGUUGGAAGUCGCGUUGCUGCCUCAGUUUCCAACCAAAUUCAAGUCCAACUCUUGUUAGAGGAAUUGUGCUGGUGGCAUGAAAUGAACCACGAAGCAAAUUGUUGAAGAUUGGAGGAUCAAGUUACUGAAACGGUGUUGCCCUUGCGUUUUAUUUUUUGCAAAACGUAAAGGGAAUUGCCUCAACAAUUUUUUAGCCUGUUAAACGAAGAGAGAAUUUAAGAAACAUUUUUUAUAGUUCAGUGUAAGAAAAAUUGGAAAUUAGGAGUCUGUGGACGAAAGAAGAACUGGCCAUAGGCAUGCGUCCAUUGUAACGGGCCCACCUAGGCCUAAUCUGGUGCAAUGGAUGCCGCAAGGAAAUUACUAUUCACACCUCCCUUUCACUAUUAAAGGUAAACCCCCUGCCUUUUUAGAAAUGAUUUAAAUACUCCUGAGUCUUGACAUUUAACCACCGUAUUACCGGCGGUGAUCUUAAAAAUCAUUUUCAAAAUAUUUUAGGAUGUAACAAUUCAAAUAUUUUAGAAAUUUGAUUUUUGUUUAUAUUUUAAUUUAAGAAUUAGGAUUAGUCUCUCUUGUAUAUUUUAAAACUUAAAACUUAUAAUUCAGUAAAAUACACGUCAUAUUUGCUAGUUGUUAUAAUUCAAUCAUAUUUUUAAGAGAAGUAAUCAAGCUGAAAUAGCGACAUUUACAAUAUUGAAAUUUCUUUGGGUGGCAUAUAAGUGUAAUGGACUUGUGGUGCUGGUUCUCUUUUGUUUGCUUAGCUGUUUCUUUCUUCGUCAUGAUCAUGUUACGCACACUAAGAAACAAAAAAAUUGACUUGCGAAAUGACUUAUUUCGAUUCGUUUUUAAGUUAAUUUUAAGAUUGUUUUAUUAACACAAAUCAUUCCGUUCACUUGUGUAUUUGCAUUUAUUUUAAUUUUAGUACGGUUGAAAUGGUCAUAACAUUUAUGAUGGUGAAAUAUCUGUAUGAUUUUUCCAUUUUUUUAAUACGGUCAUUCAGUAUUAUAAUAUCUACUUAUUUUGGGAAGGUAUGCAUUAACAAAUUAUUCCCACUUAUUUUUUAAAAGACUAUGUAGCAAAUUGUAGCAUCAAUUAGUAAGGAUAAAAGUGUUGGCUGCCUAAAAGAAAAGCAACAUAAAAGGUGGUCAGGGAGAUGUAGCAUUAAGUCACUAACCAUAUAUAGGAAGAAAAAAAACAUAAAAGAUGAAGCAACACCAUGAUAAGGGAUUAUUAUAUUUUGUUACUGGAUAUAAGACUGGCCAGUGAUAUCUAAAUCUCUGUCUCCGGUUGAAGGGGGAGGGUUGUGUUUGGGCUUGAUAGCGUCCUUAUCAACGGGGCCAUCAGCACUCUGGCUCUCACUUGCCGGUGGCUUUGUUGGCUUCUCCGGUUGCCCUUUCUCCGUACCGUACAUUCCACCACCAUAGGCACCAUGUGUUACCGGCUCCAUUCUUGAGAUUUGGGGUCCUUCCCCCAGUUUUUGCUUUUCAUUUUCACCCUCUUUUUCCAUUUGAGGCUGAGUGAUCCCACCCCUCUCCUCAUUAUGUACAUCUUUAUUUCACCUUGUAUGUUGGACGAGUGUCUUUUUUUAUUUACGUGCCAACAUAUAUCCAUGCCACGCAGCCCAUGUUCUCUUUCAACCGCUUCAUGUAAACACCAUAUUCUUCCUUUUUAUUUGUGCAUGUCUUGCACUUAUGCUUCUUUUCUUUUCUAGAUUUUUUUGGGUCAUAUUUUUUACCCAUUAUUCGGCUUAGGCCCAUUGAAUUUUGAACAGUGACUAUUUUUUGUGGAUAGAACAAUUUAACGGGGACAAUAGUUUGUCUGGGCCUGUUUUCCCUUUUCUUUUGGGCUUUCUAUCCCAUACGAAAAAAGGAGACAAUGUUUUGUCCU